CCUUAUAACUACAUGUUUGAUAAGUACCUAACAAAAACCGUUUCCUGCGUUUUUCUGAACUAUCAAGAGUAAUAAUAUGAAAAUUAAAAAAAAAAAAACAAUAUAAUCGACAAAUUUUGACAAAAUCUCCACUCAAGUUGUCAAUUAGUGGACGAUUUCUGGUAGAAAAGUUGUUAGCAUACAGAAAAAUAAAAAUCAAAUUUCACGCAUCACAAUAAACCAACAAUUCAUUUCUAUGGUUUCGCUCAAAAUCU
Non-coding RNA from Cinara cedri, 254 nucleotides. The record is from the annotation of a GenBank genome assembly. Lineage: Eukaryota; Metazoa; Arthropoda; Insecta; Hemiptera; Aphididae.